Molecule: ribosomal RNA, 485 nt
Filed under: uncultured bacterium
Lineage: Bacteria
Description: bacterial SSU rRNA
Rfam family: Bacterial small subunit ribosomal RNA
Source: RNAcentral
GAUGAACGCUAGCGGCAGGCUUAAUACAUGCAAGUCGAGGGGCAUCAAGGUACACGAAAGUGUAUUGUUGGCGACCGGCGGACGGGUGAGUAAUAGGUAGGUAACCUACCUCAUACUGAGGCAUAGCUGGGAGAAAUUCCAGGUAAUUCCUCAUGAGGUUAUAUGACACAUGUGAUAUAAUCAAAGGUAUCGCAAGGUACUGGUAUGAGAUGGGCUUACUGACCAUUAGCUAGUUGGUGAGAUAAGAGCUCACCAAGGCGAAGAUGGUUAGGGGUUUUGAGAGAGACGAUCCCCCACAUUGGAACUGAGAUACGGUCCAGACUCCUACGGGAGGCAGCAGUAGGGAAUAUUGGGCAAUGGGCGGAAGCCUGACCCAGCCAUGCCGCGUGAAGGAAGACGGCCUUAGGGGUUUAAACUUCUUUACUAUGCGACUAACUAGAUUUACGAGAUAAUUCUAUAGAAUGUAGCAUAGCAAAAAGCACCGG